CAGCAGCCACGGUAAUCCAGAGGGUGCAAGCGUUAAUCGGAAUUACUGGGCGUAAAGCGCGCGUAGGUGGUUUGCUAAGUUGGAUGUGAAAUCCCCGGGCUCAACCUGGGAACUGCAUUCAAAACUGACUGACUAGAGUAUGGUAGAGGGUGGUGGAAUUUCCUGUGUAGCGGUGAAAUUCGUAGAUAUUCGGAAGAACACCAGUGGCGAAGGCGGCUUACUGGCUCAUACUGGACGCUGAGGUGCGAAAGCGUGGGGAGCAAACAGGAUUAGAUACCCCGGUAGUCCCUGUCUCUUAUAA
RNAcentral lists this ribosomal RNA (301 nucleotides) under uncultured bacterium. RNAcentral's name for it is "partial 16S ribosomal RNA". It matches the Rfam family "Bacterial small subunit ribosomal RNA", at positions 509 to 809 of the family's 1533-position model. The record is from RNAcentral.